This 505-nucleotide long non-coding RNA is filed under the name Homo sapiens (human). RNAcentral's name for it is "non-protein coding lnc-FANCB-2:1". Lineage: Eukaryota; Metazoa; Chordata; Mammalia; Primates; Hominidae. The record is from RNAcentral.
AUGAUUAUCUACUGGGACCUCAUCAGACACAAUGAGAUGUUCUCUGACAUUUACAAAAUAUGAAAGAUCAUGGACCAGCUGUGCUUGGAGGUAGAGGGAAAAAUAGUUGAUAAGACAGAGGGUAACAUUGAUGACUCACUGGUGGAAAUGCUUCCACUGAAGGCCUCAAGGGUGAAGGUACCAAAAGCACAGUCAUCACUGGUGUUGAUAUUGUCAUGAACCAUCACUUGUAGGAAACCAGCUUCACAAAAGAAGCCUGCAAGAAGUACAUCAAACAUUACAUGAAAUCAAUUAAAGGCAGACUUGAAGAACAGAAACCAGAAAGAGUAAAAGCUUUUAUGACAGGGCCUGCAGAACAAACCAAGCACAUCUUUGCUAAUUUCAAAAACUACCAAUUCUUCAUUGGUGAAAACAUGAAUACUAAUGGUAUGGUAGCUCUAUUGGACUACCAUGAGAAUAGUAUGAUCUAUAUAUGGUCUUCUUUAAGGAUGGUUUAGAAAUGGAA